CCGACGCUGGAUUGGUAUAGGAGAUUGAGAAUAGCUGCUGAGACAGCUAGUGUUCUUGCAUUCCUACAAUGUGAGGUGUCUCCUCCAAUUUUCCACAACCAUCUCGAAUCGUGUCAUAUCUUUCUCGACACGAAUUUCUCGAGUAAAGUUUCAGGAUUUGGGUUUCUAAGCUCUUCAAUGGAAGACAAAUCUCACUCUCUUGAAGCCUCAUCAUUCCACAACAAUGAUGUUUAUGACUUUGGAGUUGUGUUACUUGAAAUGGUCACAGGGUUAAAGAAUUCAGAUCUCCCAAUGGUAGCAUUGCAAAAGAUUAGAAUUGGGAAGCUAGAAGAGGUUGUGGAUCCACUUCUAUACUAUCAUGAGAAACCUCCCCACAGUAGAGAGCAAAUAGAGAUAGUAGCAGACCUUGCCACAAGGUGCUUGCUUUUCGGUCGAGACGGGAAGUUGCGAAUGAGCGAUGUUUUGAAGGAGUUGACGCACGUAAUGAAAGAAAGCGCCGUCGAUGGAGGCAGCAUGAGAGGGCCUGCAAUAGAGGAAACUUUUUCCAAUUCAAGCCUUCUUCAAAUGAUAUCAAUGUCUCCUGACUCCAUCCUUGCUCCAUGAAUAGCCAGAUGUUUGCCUAUCAAAAUACCUUCUUUUUCUUUCCUAUGUAACUGGUUGUUCAUUGAUCAGAACUUUGCCUUGCUUCUUUACAAUUUCA
This 700-nucleotide unclassified non-coding RNA is filed under the name Hevea brasiliensis (rubber tree). Lineage: Eukaryota; Viridiplantae; Streptophyta; Magnoliopsida; Malpighiales; Euphorbiaceae. The record is from RNAcentral.